RNAcentral lists this ribosomal RNA (619 nucleotides) under uncultured Saccharomycetales. RNAcentral's name for it is "eukaryotic LSU rRNA". It matches the Rfam family "Eukaryotic large subunit ribosomal RNA", at positions 1 to 723 of the family's 3401-position model. Lineage: Eukaryota; Fungi; Ascomycota; Saccharomycetes. The record is from RNAcentral.
AUUCUCAAAUCAGGUAGGACUACCCGCUGAACUUAAGCAUAUCAAUAAGCGGAGGAAAAGAAACCAACCGGGAUUGCCUCAGUAACGGCGAGUGAAGCGGCAACAGCUCAAAUUUGAAAGCCCGCGGGCGUUGUAAUUUGCAGGCGGAUGUUUUGGGGCGGGCGCUGUCUACGUUCCUUGGAACAGGACGCCGCAGAGGGUGAGAGCCCCGUGCGAUGGCGCCUCUAACCGCGUAAAACUCCGCCGACGAGUCGAGUUGUUUGGGAAUGCAGCUCCAAGUGGGUGGUAAAUUCCAUCUAAAGCUAAAUACUGGCGAGAGACCGAUAGCGAACAAGUACAGUGAUGGAAAGAUGAAAAGCACUUUGAAAAGAGAGUGAAACAGCACGUGAAAUUGUUGAAAGGGAAGGGUAUGCGAUUAGCGGCCAGCAGGAGGUGCCUUCUCGUGAAAAGGCCGUGCACCGUCUUCGGACACCGUGCGCGGAGAUGGCGAGGGGGCGCCUGAGGUCUGCGAACUCGAGGUUGCUGGCGUAAUGAUUGCAUACCACCCGUCUUGAAACACGGNACCAAGGAGUCUAACGUCUAUGCGAGUAUGUGGGUGUCAAACCGCGUGCGGAAUGAA